Non-coding RNA from Oryctolagus cuniculus (rabbit), 1382 nucleotides. Lineage: Eukaryota; Metazoa; Chordata; Mammalia; Lagomorpha; Leporidae. The record is from RefSeq and is a predicted model, not a curated record.
GAAAACAUGAAAUCAGAUUUUGCCAUUUUCCUAAACUGUUCACAUAACAGAUGUCUCACAAGCACACUUUUUGGUAGAUAAUAUUAGGUCCUCACGAUUUCUAUCACAGCUCCAAGUAGAUGCUAUGUAUUGUAAUUGUUUUGAUUUUUUUUAACCCUGGUACUAAAUUUAGAUAUGUGUUCCAAGUAUUUGUUCAGUACUUAUUUUGUUCACUGUACAUUUUUACCUGAGAUGAUUAUAUUUAUAAGCACAUCUUCUCUUAAUUCUGAAUGGUUUUGUUCUUGAUUUUGCUCGACUUUUGUUCAAAACAUUAUUUGAAAUGCCUUUAAGAUUUUCUAUUCACAGUCACUUUUUUUCCCCUUUGUUUUCAAACUCUUUACUUCAGAAGUUUCAGUUAGUGUGUUUGCAGGCAGCUGUAGUCAUUCACUGGGCAACGCUGUUGCUAGGACUGGCUUAGGCACCUGUGCGUGUUCUAGAACCACACCACCGUCCAGAGCCUUCCGCUCUUGCUGAGGUGCCUGACCUGACACUGGGGCGCUGUGUUAGGCAUGCUCACUGGAAUGAAUGAAACCUCUGCUCUGAUCGUCGCCACACCCCAGGAUUUCACCCCCUCUGUGAUUCUUCAGAAGGUUGUGAAUGUCGCCAAUGUAGGUGCGGUUCCUUCUGGCCAAGACCAUCUGCACAGGUUUGCAGCUAGAACUGUGCACAGUGGGUCACUGAUGCUGGUCACGGUGGAGCUGAAGGAAGGCUCUACAGCCCAGCUCAUCAUCAACACCGAGAAAACUGUGAUUGGCUCUGUGCUGCUGCGGGAGCUGAAGCCUGUCCUGUCCCAGGGGUGACUGCUUACAUCUGGACUUCAGAGGCUGGCACACAACAAAAGUGCCUGGCAUCCACUGCUGCCGCCUUUCAUUUAUAAUAAUAGCCCUUCCAUCUGGCAGUGGGGGGGCAGGCGCUCCCACAUCCUCGUCUCCUGCUGUAGAAUGCUAGUGUGUAUCUAUCAUGUAUGCGACUCUCCCCUUCCGCCUUGCUAACCAAAGAACAUAUACUUCACUGUCAGUUAUCUCAGCUCUGGAGCCCACGUGCGUUCUCUCUGUCCUGCGCCUCCUUUCGGCCUCUCCCUCCUCUUUCUCUUCGACGAUGAUGGACACGAAUUGGAUGUUCAAAGUUCAUUGGAAACCAUCUUCCCUUCAGCAGGAAGCAAACAUUAGCGAAGAAGGAGUCUCAGGGCCUCGGCGGGGCAUGGGAGGCCGGCACCCCACCCCUUUAGAAUUAAAUGCAGAAGCUCGGUCUUUGCAAUUGCCUUGUAUUGUGAUUGGUUAUUGAUAACGAUCAUCAUGAAAUUAUCUCUGAAAAACAAGAUAAAUAAAGGAGCAUAUGAGUAA